Molecule: ribosomal RNA, 420 nt
Filed under: uncultured bacterium
Lineage: Bacteria
Description: bacterial SSU rRNA
Rfam family: Bacterial small subunit ribosomal RNA
Source: RNAcentral
AAGGAAUAUUGGUCAAUGGUGGAAACACUGAACCAGCCAUGCCGCGUGGAGGAAUAAGGUCCUACGGAUUGUAAACUCCUUUUGACGAGGAAGAAAAUGUUAGAUUUAUCUAAUUUUGACGGUACUCGUAGAAUAAGCACCGGCUAACUCCGUGCCAGCAGCCGCGGUAAUACGGAGGGUGCCAGCGUUAUCCGGAUUUACUGGGUUUAAAGGGUCCGCAGGUGGGGAGGUAAGUCAGUGGUGAAAUACCCGGGCUCAAUUUGGGUGCUGCCAUUGAUACUGCUUUUCUUGAGUGUAGAUGAGGUGGGCGGAAUACAGCAUGUAGCGGUGAAAUGCGUAGAUAUGCUGUAGAACACCGAUUGCGAAGGCAGCUCACUAAACUACUACUGACACUCAGGGACGAAAGCGUGGGGAUCAAAC